Molecule: ribosomal RNA, 253 nt
Filed under: uncultured bacterium
Lineage: Bacteria
Description: partial 16S ribosomal RNA
Rfam family: Bacterial small subunit ribosomal RNA
Source: RNAcentral
UACGUAGGGGGCAAGCGUUGUCCGGAUUUAUUGGGCGUAAAGAGCGUGUAGGCGGUCAGGUAGGUCUGCUGUGAAAACUCGAGGCUCAACCUCGAGACGUCGGCGGAAACCAUCUGGCUAGAGUCCGGAAGAGGAGAGUGGAAUUCCUGGUGUAGCGGUGAAAUGCGCAGAUAUCAGGAAGAACACCCGUGGCGAAGGCGGCUCUCUGGGACGGUACUGACGCUGAGACGCGAAAGCGUGGGGAGCGAACAGG